AUCCAGCUGUGUCCCAAAUAGGACGUAACACGCGUCCUGGAU
Molecule: non-coding RNA, 42 nt
Organism: Schistosoma haematobium
Lineage: Eukaryota; Metazoa; Platyhelminthes; Trematoda; Strigeidida; Schistosomatidae
Source: Rfam